RNAcentral lists this ribosomal RNA (253 nucleotides) under uncultured bacterium. Its description in RNAcentral is "partial 16S ribosomal RNA". It matches the Rfam family "Bacterial small subunit ribosomal RNA", at positions 524 to 776 of the family's 1533-position model. The record is from RNAcentral.
UACGUAGGAUGCAAGCGUUGUCCGGAAUUAUUGGGCGUAAAGAGCUCGUAGGCGGUCUGUCGCGUCGGCUGUGAAAACCCGUGGCUCAACCCCGGGCCUGCAGUCGAUACGGGCAGACUAGAGUGCGGUAGGGGAGAUUGGAAUUCCUGGUGUAGCGGUGGAAUGCGCAGAUAUCAGGAGGAACACCGAUGGCGAAGGCAGAUCUCUGGGCCGUAACUGACGCUGAGGAGCGAAAGCGUGGGGAGCGAACAGG